Molecule: Y RNA, 142 nt
Filed under: Myotis davidii
Lineage: Eukaryota; Metazoa; Chordata; Mammalia; Chiroptera; Vespertilionidae
Rfam family: Y RNA
About the family: Y RNAs are components of the Ro ribonucleoprotein particle (Ro RNP), in association with Ro60 and La proteins.
Source: Rfam by way of RNAcentral
GGCUGGUCCGAUGGCAGUGGGUUAUAAGAACUGUUUAAAUGUUAGUACCGCUAACUUCUAACUUACCUUAAGUUAGUAACUUGGCUUAAGUUAGCAAGUUAGUAUCACUAACCCCCCCACUGCUAAACUUGACUGGCUUUUA